Small nuclear RNA from Heterocephalus glaber (naked mole-rat), 110 nucleotides. NCBI's taxonomy places the organism in Eukaryota, Metazoa, Chordata, Mammalia, Rodentia, Bathyergidae. The record is from Ensembl.
GUACUCACUUUGACAGCACACAUACUAAAGUUAGAACUACACAUAAGGAAAUGUUAGCAUGGCCCCUGUGCAAGGAUGGCAUGCACAUUUGUAAUGCGAUACACAUUUUA